AUUGAACGCUGGCGGCAGGCCUAACACAUGCAAGUCGAACGAGUGGCGGACGGGUGAGUAAUGUCUGGGAAACUGCCUGAUGGAGGGGGAUAACUACUGGAAACGGUAGCUAAUACCGCAUACCAUCAGAUGUGCCCAGAUGGGAUUAGCUUGUUGGUGGGGUAACGGCUCACCAAGGCGACGAUCCCUAGCUGGUCUGAGAGGAUGACCAGCCACACUGGAACUCAACAACGGUCCAGACUCCGACGGCGGCCAGCAGGUGGAAGUAAUGGACAAUGGGCGCAAGCCUGAUGCAGCAAUGCCCCGUGUAUAAAGGAGACCUGAGGGUUGUAAAGUACGUUACGAAGGGAGGGGUUACCCGCAGAAGAAGCACCGGGUAAGUCCGUGCUAGGCGCCGCGGUAAUAC
RNAcentral lists this ribosomal RNA (406 nucleotides) under uncultured bacterium. RNAcentral's name for it is "partial 16S ribosomal RNA". It matches the Rfam family "Bacterial small subunit ribosomal RNA", at positions 30 to 526 of the family's 1533-position model. The record is from RNAcentral.